GACGAACGCUGGCGGCGUGCUUAACACAUGCAAGUCGAACGGAGUGGCGAACGGGUGAGUAACACGUGGGUGAUUUGCCUUGCACUCUGGGAUAAGCUUGGGAAACUGCGUCUAAUACCGGAUAGUUCAAGCUGAGCUCCCGGCCUAUCAGCUUGUUGGUGGGGUAAUGGCCUACCAAGGCGUCGACGGGUAGCCGGCCUGAGAGGGUGUACGGCGACCUUGGGACUGAGAUACGGCCCAGACUACUACUGGAGGAAGCAGUGGGGAAUAUUGCACAAUGGGCGGAGGCCUGAUGCAGCGACGCCGCGUGGGGGAUGACGGCCUUCGGGUUGUAAGAUCCUUUCGACAAGGACGCGGUACCUGUAUAAGAAGCACCGGCUAACUACGUGCCAGCAGCCGCGGUAAUUC
Molecule: ribosomal RNA, 408 nt
Filed under: uncultured bacterium
Lineage: Bacteria
Description: partial 16S ribosomal RNA
Rfam family: Bacterial small subunit ribosomal RNA
Source: RNAcentral